Non-coding RNA from Pelobates cultripes (western spadefoot toad), 252 nucleotides. The record is from the annotation of a GenBank genome assembly. Lineage: Eukaryota; Metazoa; Chordata; Amphibia; Anura; Pelobatidae.
GUCGUGUUUUAGUCCACAGAGACAACCAGCUUCACUUAUAGAAGAACAGAUGGGAUGUGGGUGCCCAUGAGAAUGCAGCUCAUACUAUACUAAAAUAAUGUGACAUUUUACCAUGGGGUGGCACGAUGGUACACAGAGCACCAUAAUCACUACAGCUAUAUAGUUAUGGUGCUCAAAAUGAUCUUCCAUAGAGCACUUUAUGCACCAUGUAAAGCACUAGUCACUUUUUAAAUAAAUAUUGUAUCACUUACU